This 478-nucleotide ribosomal RNA is filed under the name uncultured bacterium. RNAcentral describes it as "partial 16S ribosomal RNA". It matches the Rfam family "Bacterial small subunit ribosomal RNA", at positions 28 to 508 of the family's 1533-position model. The record is from RNAcentral.
GAUGAACGCUGGCGGCGUGCUUAACACAUGCAAGUCGAACGGGAAUUAUUUUAUUGAAACUUCGGUCGAUUUAAUUUAAUUCUAGUGGCGGACGGGUGAGUAACGCGUGGGUAACCUGCCUUAUACAGGGGGAUAACAGUCAGAAAUGGCUGCUAAUACCGCAUAAGCGCACAGAGCUGCAUGGCUCAGUGUGAAAAACUCCGGUGGUAUAAGAUGGACCCGCGUUGGAUUAGCUGGUUGGUGGGGUAACGGCCCACCAAGGCGACGAUCCAUAGCCGGCUGGGGAGGGGGAGCGGCCACAUUGGGAGUGAGACACGACCCAGACCCCUACGGGGGGAAGCAGUGGGGAAUAUUGCACAAUGGGGGAAACCUGAAUGCGGCGACCCCGCGUGAAGGAAGAAGUAUCUCGGUAUGUAAACUUCUAUCAGAGGGAAAGAAAGGGAGGGUACCUGACAAAGAGCCCCGGCAAAACUACGGC